ACCUGUAGCACAGGUAUUAAAACUUGGAACAACACAGAGAUCCAGGCAGCCCCUGUGAGAGGAUGAUACACAAGUACAUGAAGUGUUCCAUAUUUGU
Molecule: small nuclear RNA, 97 nt
Filed under: Rattus norvegicus (Norway rat)
Lineage: Eukaryota; Metazoa; Chordata; Mammalia; Rodentia; Muridae
Source: RNAcentral